Molecule: ribosomal RNA, 350 nt
Filed under: uncultured soil bacterium
Lineage: Bacteria
Description: bacterial SSU rRNA
Rfam family: Bacterial small subunit ribosomal RNA
Source: RNAcentral
AGAGUGAACGCUGGUGGUAGGCCUAACACAUGCAAGUCGAACGGCAGCACAGUAGGAGCUUGCUCUUACGGGCGGCGAGUGGCGGACGGGUGAGGAAUACAUCGGAAUCUACCUUUUGGUGGGGGAUAACGUAGGGAAACUUACGCUAAUACCGCAUACGCCCUUCGGGGGAAAGCCGGGGACCAGCAAUGGCCUGGCGCUGAUAGAUGAGCCGAUGUCGGAUUAGCUAGUUGGUGAGGUAAUGGCUCACCAAGGCGACGAUCCGUAGCUGGUCUGAGAGGAUGAUCAGCCACACUAGGAACUGAGACCACGGUCCAGACCUCCGUACGGGGAGCAGCAGGUGGGGAAUA